CGGGUGAGUAACACGUGGAUAACCUACCUAUAAGACUGGGAUAACUUCGGGAGACCGGAGCUAAUACCGGAUAAUAUUUUGAACCGCAUGGUUCAAAAGUGAAAGACGGUCUUGCUGUCACUUAUAGAUGGAUCCGCGCUGCAUUAGCUAGUUGGUAAGGUAACGGCUUACCAAGGCAACGAUGCAUAGCCGACCUGAGAGGGUGAUCGGCCACACUGGAACUGAGACACGGUCCAG
RNAcentral lists this ribosomal RNA (237 nucleotides) under uncultured Staphylococcus sp. Its description in RNAcentral is "partial 16S ribosomal RNA". It matches the Rfam family "Bacterial small subunit ribosomal RNA", at positions 103 to 334 of the family's 1533-position model. The record is from RNAcentral. Lineage: Bacteria; Bacillati; Bacillota; Bacilli; Caryophanales; Staphylococcaceae.